RNAcentral lists this small nuclear RNA (107 nucleotides) under Ursus thibetanus thibetanus. The record is from RNAcentral. Lineage: Eukaryota; Metazoa; Chordata; Mammalia; Carnivora; Ursidae.
GUGCUUGCUUCGGCAGCUCAUAUACUAAAAUAGGAACGAUACAGAGAGGAUUAGCAUGGCGCCCACACAAGGAUGACACACAGAUCUGUGACGUUUUGUCAAUGGCC